This 254-nucleotide ribosomal RNA is filed under the name uncultured bacterium. Its description in RNAcentral is "partial 16S ribosomal RNA". It matches the Rfam family "Bacterial small subunit ribosomal RNA", at positions 524 to 776 of the family's 1533-position model. The record is from RNAcentral.
UACGUAGGGGGCGAGCGUUGUCCGGAUUUAUUGGGCGUAAAGAGCUCGUAGGCGGCUUGGCAAGUCGGGUGUGAAACCUCCAGGCUCAACCUGGAGACGCCACUCGAUACUGCUAUGGCUAGAGUCCGGUAGGGGACCACGGAAUUUCUGGUGUAGCGGUGAAAUGCGCAGAUAUCAGGAGGAACACCGGUGGCGAAGGCGGUGGUCUGGGCCGGCACUGACGCUGAGGAGCGAAAGCAUGGGGAGCGAACAGG